AGUCGAGGGGUAACGGGGAAGCUUGCUUCCGCCGACGACCGGCACACGGGUGCGUAACGCGUAUACAAUCUACCUUGUACUGGGGUAUAGCCUUUAGAAAUGAAGAUUAAUCCCCCAUAGUCUCUUAGAGUGGCAUCACUUCUAGAGUAAAGGUUACGGUAUAAGAUGAGUAUGCGUUCUAUUAGUUUGUUGGUGUGGUAACGGCACACCAAGACUACGAUAGAUAGGGGCCCUGAGAGGGGGAUCCCCCACACUGGUACUGAGACACGGACCAGACUCCUACGGGAGGCAGCAGUGAGGAAUAUUGGACAAUGGAGGCAACUCUGAUCCAGCCAUGCCGCGUGCAGGAAGACUGCCCUAUGGGUUGUAAACUGCUUUUAUACAGGAAGAAACACCUCUACGUGUAGAGGCUUGACGGUACUGUAAGAAUAAAGGAUCGGCUAACUCCGUGCCAGCAGCCGCGGUAAUACGGAGGAUCCAAGCGUUAUCCGGAAUCAUUGGGUUUAAAGGGUCC
RNAcentral lists this ribosomal RNA (514 nucleotides) under uncultured marine bacterium. Its description in RNAcentral is "bacterial SSU rRNA". It matches the Rfam family "Bacterial small subunit ribosomal RNA", at positions 60 to 570 of the family's 1533-position model. The record is from RNAcentral.